RNAcentral lists this ribosomal RNA (444 nucleotides) under uncultured bacterium. RNAcentral's name for it is "partial 16S ribosomal RNA". It matches the Rfam family "Bacterial small subunit ribosomal RNA", at positions 338 to 795 of the family's 1533-position model. The record is from RNAcentral.
CCUACGGGUGGGCAGCAGUGGGGAAGAUGGGGCAAUGGGCGCAAGCCUGACCCAGCAACGCAGCGUGAAGGAAGAAGGCUUUCGGGUUGUAAACUUCUUUUGUCAGGGACGAAGCAAGUGACGGUACCUGACGAAUAAGCCACGGCUAACUACGUGCCAGCAGCCGCGGUAAUACGUAGGUGGCAAGCGUUAUCCGGAUUUACUGGGUGUAAAGGGCGUGUAGGCGGGACUGCAAUUCAGAUGUGAAAACCACGGGCUCAACCGUUGGCCUGCAUUUGAAACUGGAGUUCUUGAGUACUGGAGAGGCAGACGGAAUUCCUAGUGUAGCGGUGAAAUGCGUAGAGAUUAGGAGGAACACCAGUGGCGAAGGCGGUCUGCUGGACAGCAACUGACGCUGAGGCGCGAAAGCGUGGGGAGCAAACAGGAUUAGAUACCCUUGUAGUC